This 776-nucleotide ribosomal RNA is filed under the name uncultured Neocallimastigales. RNAcentral's name for it is "partial large subunit ribosomal RNA". It matches the Rfam family "Eukaryotic large subunit ribosomal RNA", at positions 22 to 645 of the family's 3401-position model. The record is from RNAcentral. Lineage: Eukaryota; Fungi; Neocallimastigomycota; Neocallimastigomycetes; Neocallimastigales.
GUACACGCUGUGACUAGCAUAUCAAUAAGCGGAGGAAAAGAAACUAACAAGGAUUCCCCUAGUAACGGCGAGUGAAGCGGGAAGAGCUCAAAUUUGAAAUCUUAAAGGGUUUCCCUUUACGAAUUGUAGUUUAAAGAAGUGUUUUCUGUUGAGGUUUUGGUAAAAGUUCUUUGGAAUAGGACAUCAUAGAGGGUGAGAAUCCCGUAUUUGACCUUUAGCUUUCAACUUUGUGAUACACUUUCAAAGAGUCGGAUUGUUUGGGAAUGCAGUCCAAAAUGGGUGGUAAAUUUCAUCUAAAGCUAAAUAUUGGCGAGAGACCGAUAGCGAACAAGUAUCGUGAGGGAAAGAUGAAAAGAACUCUGAAAAGAGAGUUAAACAGUACGUGAAAUUGUCAAAAGGGAAGCGUUUUGACACCAGUGUUGUUUUUCUGAAGAUCAAUUAAAGAACUGUUUAUGCUAAGUUGUUUAGACUUUAUCAGCUAACUGUUUAGUUUUGAGCUUUUCUUUAAUGCACUUUUCAGUUAACAAGUCAACAUCAAUUUCUUUUGCUGUAAAAAAGCUUGAGGAAGGUGGCUUGAGAUUCGUCUUAAGUGUUUAUAGCCUCUUGCCUAUGCAGUCGGAGAGAUUGAGGUCUGCAGCGUAGAUCCUUCGGGGCUAAAUGCAUUUGUGCUAAGUUAUAGCAUUUUAUAGACAACUUGUUGACUAUGAUUUGUCUUGUAGCUUACUCGCUUAUGUUAUUUUACCUACGCUUAGGAUGUUGACGCGCGUGUGUGCGUG